Molecule: ribosomal RNA, 500 nt
Filed under: uncultured bacterium
Lineage: Bacteria
Description: partial 16S ribosomal RNA
Rfam family: Bacterial small subunit ribosomal RNA
Source: RNAcentral
AUUGAACGCUGGCGGCAUGCCUUACACAUGCAAGUCGAACGGCAGCACGGGAGCAAUCCUGGUGGCGAGUGGCGAACGGGUGAGUAAUAUAUCGGAACGUGCCCAGUAGUGGGGGAUAACUGCUCGAAAGAGCAGCUAAUACCGCAUACGACCUGAGGGUGAAAGCGGGGGAUCGCAAGACCUCGCGCUAUUGGAGCGGCCGAUAUCAGAUUAGCUAGUUGGUGAGGUAAAGGCUCACCAAGGCGACGAUCUGUAGCUGGUCUGAGAGGACGGACGGCCACACUGGGACUGAGACACGGCCCAGACUCCUACGGGAGGCAGCAGUGGGGAAUUUUGGACAAUGGGCGCAAGCCUGAUCCAGCCAUGCCGCGUGCGGGAAGAAGGCCUUCGGGUUGUAAACCGCUUUUGUCAGGGAAGAAACGGCUCCUACUAAUACUGGGGGCUAAUGACGGUACCUGAAGAAUAAGCACCGGCUAACUACGUGCCAGCCGCCGCCGUAA